GCUGGGCACAGUGGUGCAGGCCUGUAAUCCCAGCAGCUUGGGAGGCUGAGGCAGGAGGAUUUCAGGCCCUAUGCAACUCAGCAAGAUCCUGUCUCCA
RNAcentral lists this small RNA (97 nucleotides) under Marmota monax (woodchuck). Lineage: Eukaryota; Metazoa; Chordata; Mammalia; Rodentia; Sciuridae. The record is from RNAcentral.